This 253-nucleotide ribosomal RNA is filed under the name uncultured bacterium. Its description in RNAcentral is "partial 16S ribosomal RNA". It matches the Rfam family "Bacterial small subunit ribosomal RNA", at positions 524 to 776 of the family's 1533-position model. The record is from RNAcentral.
UACGAAGGGUGCUAGCGUUGUUCGGAAUCACUGGGCGUAAAGGGCGCGUAGGCGGCUUUUCAAGUCAGAGGUGAAAUCCUGAGGCUCAACCUCAGAAUUGCCUUUGAAACUGGAAAGCUUGAGUGUCGGAGGGGAUAGCGGAAUUCCUAAUGUAGAGGUGAAAUUCGUAGAUAUUAGGAGGAACACCGGUGGCGAAGGCGGCUAUCUGGACGACAACUGACGCUGAGGCGCGAAAGCGUGGGGAGCAAACAGG